This 1172-nucleotide ribosomal RNA is filed under the name Megabalanus ajax. RNAcentral's name for it is "SSU rRNA". Lineage: Eukaryota; Metazoa; Arthropoda; Thecostraca; Balanomorpha; Balanidae. The record is from RNAcentral.
CCCAGUUCAGGGAGGUAGUGACAAUAAAUACCUUACAGAGGUCUCGUUAACCGAGAUCUCUCAAACGGAAUGAGUACAACGUGAAUCCUUUAACGAGGAUCGACUGGAGGGCAAGCCUGGUGCCAGCAGCCGCGGUAAUUCCAGCUCCARUAGCGUAUAUUAAAGCUGUUGCGGUUAAAAAGCUCGUAGUUGGAUAUCAGUGCGUGUCCGGUCCGGUAUGCCCGGCGGUGUCGCUAGCGCGUCGCUGCUGGGCUCCCAAAUAUCGGCUGGCCGCAUUCAAUCGUGCCGGAUCCGUCGGCGGGCCGUUCUUCGUAGGGGCCUGUUGGCGGCCGGCGAGGUUACCUUGAACAAAUUAGAGUGCUCAAAGCAGGCUCUGAAUGCCUGUAUACAUAUUCAUGGAAUUGGAGAAUACGUCCCUGGCUCGAUUUGGUUGGUUUUGCGAGUCGAAGGGAAAUGAUUAAUAGGGACUGACGGAGGCAUUCGUAUUGCGACGCGAGGGGUGAAAUCCUGUGACCGUCGCACGACGAACUACUGCGAAAGCAUUUGCCGAGAAUGUUUUCAUUAGUCAAGAACGAAAGUUAGAGGUUCGAAGGCGAUCAGAUACCGCCCUAGUUCUAACCGUAAACGAUGUCGACCAGCAAUCCGCAACGGUCACUACACGGACUGUGCGGGCAGCUUCCCCGGGGAAACCAGAGUUUUUGGACUCCGGGGGAAGUAUGGUUGCAAAGCUGAAACUUAAAGGAAUUGACGGAAGGGCACCACCAGGAGUGGAGCUUGCGGCUUAAUUUGACUCAACACGGGACAACUCACCAGGCCCGGACACCGUAAGGAUUGACAGACUGAUAGCUCUCUCUUGAUUCAGUGGGUGGUGGUGCAUGGCCGUUCUUAGUUGGUGGAGUGAUUUGUCUGGUUUAUUCCGAUAACGAACGAGACUCUGGCCUAUUAAACUUGACACUGUCCGUCUCUUGUGACGGCGGUGCGCUUCUUAGAGGGAUCAUCGGCGUCCCAGCCGAAGGAAAGGGAGCAAUAACAGGUCUGUGAUGCCCUUAGAUGUUCUGGGCUGCACGCGUGUUACACUGAAGUGGUCAGCGCGCCGUUCAACACCCCUCUCCGUGAGGAGCUUGGGCAAACGUUUGAACCCUUUUCGUGAUGGGAAUUGGGGGUUGCAAUUG